GACGAACGCUGGCGGCGUGCUUAACACAUGCAAGUCGAACGGAAAGGCCCUGCUUUUGUGGGGUGCUCGAGUGGCGAACGGGUGAGUAACACGUGAGUAACCUGCCCUUGACUUUGGGAUAACUUCAGGAAACUGGGGCUAAUACCGGAUAGGAGCUCCUGCUGCAUGGUGGGGGUUGGAAAGUUUCGGCGGUUGGGGAUGGACUCGCGGCUUAUCAGCUUGUUGGUGGGGUAGUGGCUUACCAAGGCUUUGACGGGUAGCCGGCCUGAGAGGGUGACCGGCCACAUUGGGACUGGGAUACGGCCCAGACUCCUACGGGAGGCAGCAGUGGGGAAUAUUGCACAAUGGGCGGAAGCCUGAUGCAGCAACGCCGCGUGCGGGAUGACGGCCUUCGGGUUGUAAACCGCUUUCGCCUGUGACGAAGCGUGAGUGAGGGUAAUGGGUAAAGAAGCACCGGCUAACUACGUG
RNAcentral lists this ribosomal RNA (468 nucleotides) under uncultured bacterium. RNAcentral's name for it is "partial 16S ribosomal RNA". It matches the Rfam family "Bacterial small subunit ribosomal RNA", at positions 28 to 507 of the family's 1533-position model. The record is from RNAcentral.